This is a long non-coding RNA of Cyprinus carpio carpio, 3305 nucleotides long. NCBI's taxonomy places the organism in Eukaryota, Metazoa, Chordata, Actinopteri, Cypriniformes, Cyprinidae. The record is from Ensembl.
GCUUGUCAUUGAAUAUUUUAUUUGCAAAUGAAGUAUUAAUAACUCAGAGUCCGUAAAAAUAUACUUUUUUUUUUUACUUGUAGAGGGACAUAUUUACAAGAAUGGAUCUUCUUCAAAAUGAACCAACUGGUGUACAAAACUCAAAAUGUGUGCAACAGCAAAUAGAAAUGAAGAUCAUGAGUAUUUUCCCUUCAGUCUCACCAGAAGAGGACUCUCAGGAACAGGCCCGAGUUCCCACAUUCACAAACAAAAACAAAGAAUAGCAAAAAACCCUCAAGAUAACAGAGGAAAGCACAGUAAAUGUUAAAACAAAGCAAUGUGAACGCAAAAAGAGACAGAGAGGAUGUUGGUCAUAUUUACACUUACAUAUUCAGCCGAAUACAUGUAUGAACACUGAAGCAAAGCAUUCCCAAUAUCUGACCUUUAGGCCAUAACAUGCAAUUCCUUUGCUUUUCCAAUGGAAAAGAAUUCCCCUUAAAGUAACACAUACUGCUACAGUUUCUAAGAGGAGUCGAAGGAGCCUUUUUAGACAUCCAACAUUAUUUUAAUAACAACCAUGUUGGGUAACAAUGAUCGGUUAGAGGCUACAUACACAGUCGAGUAUGUCUUUUAAAUAGAGCAUUAUAUCAAAAAUACAUCGCAGAUGGACCUUAACUGAUUCCCUGGAUUGAGCUCCCAUUCAAAACUGAAUGUCCUCAUGCAAUGUGAGCACAGCUUCAGAUGCUUUGGCGGCUCUAUGAAAGAGUGUACAUACACUGAUGGUUUCUAAACACCAUGCCAGCUGUUUAACAGUGUUGAAAUAAAAGCCACUAAAGAUUAAUUGUCUGAGGAAAUAGGCCGGUUCUUUUUGCUGGAAGACGCUGGGGAAGGAAUAAAAAUCACCUUAAGUGCCUGAAUGUGAGAACAGAACUGCUGGAAGGCAAGCUUUCAAUCAGCUUUCCUAAUAAAGUGGGCCGAUCUUGGCUAGUUUGGUGCUGUAAUGUCCUAAAAUAAAAAAAGGACCAAAAUAAACAUAUAACAAUGGUUCUGUUCCAAAACCUACAGAGCUGCCUAUUUAGGUAGCAUUUUAAAGCAUUUGAGGCUGUUACAAAAGGUUCUGAGAUACCUUCCAAUGGCCAGCAUCACCUGGAUCAUUAUAAUGUAAUUGCAUGAUGCAUUGCACAAAGCAAAAAAAAAAAAAAAAAUCCAAAUUGGUCAGGGCAAUGUUGAUUAAUAAAAUUCUUAAAAAAAAAAAAAUGGUUAGAUAUAAUUAAAACAGACUAUUUGAGUAAAUAUUUGUGUAUUAUGCAUUUUAUGCCUUAUAACAGUACGAAUCUGAAACUCCGAAAUGUACCUUUAGCUUUGAAACUGUAUUGAAAUCACAAUCCUCACCCUUUAAUUUUAGAGUUUGGCGUUAACAUGUUCCUUAUUGAACAGUACAUUCUAAGUUAGAAUUAGUCAGUUAGGAUGCUGCCUUGGAUGCUCUUUAUUUACGUAGGCAGUAGAUAGCAAGGCCACAUUUUGUAAAUCGCAAUCAUCUGAUGCAUUUCAAAUAGAAAAAAUUCCAUCCAAGAUGAUGGACAAAGAGCGGAAAAUGAUAACUAGAGUGUGUCGUUAGCUUAGCAUCAUGUUAACGCCAAGCUCUGUUGAAAUCAAAACACACUAAAUGACUUUUGUCCACUGUAUAGAGUGUUCCACACCAGUCAUGUGAGGUUCCAUAUUAACAGAGUGCAACAUUCGGGCUCCAGAAGUAAAAAUCAUAUUUUUAAAAAUCUAUCUAUGGGAAAAAUACUUCAGGAACCAAGGCCACUGAAUGUGGAUGGGAACUAUUGCACUCUAUUAGGAUGCUAACCAUAGAGCCAGCUACAUAUAUAGGCAGUAGACAGUAAGGCAGCUCAGUAGGAUUUGAAACAGAGCAAAUAUUUCAAGACAAGUAGAGUAACUGCCCACAAAAACAGCCGUAUUGUGAAGGUCCAGUUGUAUGGGUUUCAUCUUGGUCUCUUUUUUUAAGGUGAAGGUAUUGGAGAACCUAUGUAGGGUAUCGACCCUGUGUUCUCCUUACAAUUCCCAUCAUUCACUCCCUACUCUGCAUGACAGCCCAUCCAUCACACUUACUGACAACAGUUCAGCCAGCAACACCGCCUACACUGCCUCGUGGAGAAUGUGGCUCUGGAGAGCGCGUCUCGAGUGUGUCUCUAUUUAUGAGGUCGUUAGUGUGUGUGUACACUUGGGAAGAAGUGUGUCCGUGUGUAUCAAACACAUUUGCUGGGGAAGGUAACAAGAAGGCAGGCGAAUUGGCAUAGGCAGUACUCUGCUACAUUACAGACUGAAACCAGGUUGACAAAUACACUUGAAAGUGGCCCCAAAGGAGUGCUGUAUGCUUGCUUCCUUAUGUCUUAUGGCUUUUCCUCUCUUAAAUAUUAGGCUCCAUCAAUGGCAGAUAUACAAGUAGCCAUUAAGAAGGAAAUGAUUUUACUUAUUAAAGGGAGCUUAGUGGGUCAGGGGCUACAAUGACCAAUUAUUACUCUCUGAAAAUGCAUAAUACCUCAUCUACAUCAUUAUCAUGACCUAUAACCCCAAUCUUCAACCGAUAACUUAAAGGAUAUUGUGUGCGUAUAUUUAUCUGUAUGUACAAUAUAAAACAACAUCAUGACUACAGAGUGUACAUUAUUCGUGUGGCUGCAUUUGGACUGCCUCUUUGUGCCAGAGUGCUCCCUCCCUCUCUGCUGAUGAGGGCCGUUUUACACAUGGCUUCUGGUACAUUGCAAAGAACCAAGGACAAAAGCAAUCUCGGGGGAAGAAUUCACUGUGAAGACACACAAAACAGGCAACUUGUCCACUUCAAAUUUCACAAAUGCACCAAGCAAGGUCUUCCCAGGGGCUUCGAGACACCACUAAUGGAUAGGGUUUUGACAGCGCUUGGCGGACGAAGCCGCGGGGCGGCUGGCACAAAGAGCCAGCCAUCUUGAGACAGCCUGCUGUUAGAGGGUCCUAGGAGAAUCCUGGGACGGUACCGUGGUGCAAACACUAACUAGAAGGAGAGUACCGCAAAUGCGCACACACGCUCUGUACAUAAGUCCCUGUUAUGGUAUUCCCUUUCAAUUACUUGUCGAACAGUAUUGUGAGAUUAUAGUCGAAAGUUACUUGUGCCUCAUAUGCUAUUGUGUAGUACCACUGGGUAUUCUAGAAAAGAAGGGAAAAAAACAAAAAAACAAAACUAUCUUUGACUUAUACACAUUCAUAGUAUUCAUGGCAGGUUUUGGUUUCAGUAUCACUUGAAAUACAGCUGUAAUAAAUAUACCAUGCUCGGUAUGUAAUACAAACUG